This 253-nucleotide ribosomal RNA is filed under the name uncultured bacterium. RNAcentral's name for it is "partial 16S ribosomal RNA". It matches the Rfam family "Bacterial small subunit ribosomal RNA", at positions 524 to 776 of the family's 1533-position model. The record is from RNAcentral.
UACGGAGGGGGCUAGCGUUGUUCGGAAUUACUGGGCGUAAAGGGUGCGUAGGCGGCGUGCCAAGUCGGGCGUGAAAGCCCUGGGCUCAACCCGGGAACUGCGUUCGAGACUGGCAUGCUGGAGUCCGGGAGAGGAUGGCGGAAUUCCCAGUGUAGAGGUGAAAUUCGUAGAUAUUGGGAAGAACACCGGUGGCGAAGGCGGCCAUCUGGACCGGCACUGACGCUGAGGCACGAAAGCGUGGGGAGCAAACAGG